RNAcentral lists this ribosomal RNA (1418 nucleotides) under Bacillus velezensis. Its description in RNAcentral is "bacterial SSU rRNA". It matches the Rfam family "Bacterial small subunit ribosomal RNA". Lineage: Bacteria; Bacillati; Bacillota; Bacilli; Caryophanales; Bacillaceae. The record is from RNAcentral.
AUACAUGCAAGUCGAGCGGAACAGAUGGGAGCUUGCUCCCUGAUGUUAGCGGCGGACGGGUGAGUAACACGUGGGUAACCUGCCUGUAAGACUGGGAUAACUCCGGGAAACCGGGGCUAAUACCGGAUGGUUGUUUGAACCGCAUGGUUCAAACAUAAAAGGUGGCUUCGGCUACCACUUACAGAUGGACCCGCGGCGCAUUAGCUAGUUGGUGAGGUAAUGGCUCACCAAGGCAACGAUGCGUAGCCGACCUGAGAGGGUGAUCGGCCACACUGGGACUGAGACACGGCCCAGACUCCUACGGGAGGCAGCAGUAGGGAAUCUUCCGCAAUGGACGAAAGUCUGACGGAGCAACGCCGCGUGAGUGAUGAAGGUUUUCGGAUCGUAAAGCUCUGUUGUUAGGGAAGAACAAGUACCGUUCGAAUAGGGCGGUACCUUGACGGUACCUAACCAGAAAGCCACGGCUAACUACGUGCCAGCAGCCGCGGUAAUACGUAGGUGGCAAGCGUUGUCCGGAAUUAUUGGGCGUAAAGGGCUCGCAGGCGGUUUCUUAAGUCUGAUGUGAAAGCCCCCGGCUCAACCGGGGAGGGUCAUUGGAAACUGGGGAACUUGAGUGCAGAAGAGGAGAGUGGAAUUUCACGUGUAGCGGUGAAAUGCGUAGAGAUGUGGAGGAACACCAGUGGCGAAGGCGACUCUCUGGUCUGUAACUGACGCUGAGGAGCGAAAGCGUGGGGAGCGAACAGGAUUAGAUACCCUGGUAGUCACGCCGUAAACGAUGAGUGCUAAGUGUUAGGGGGUUUCCGCCCCUUAGUGCUGCAGCUAACGCAUUAAGCACUCCGCCUGGGGAGUACGGUCGCAAGACUGAAACUCAAAGGAAUUGACGGGGGCCCGCACAAGCGGUGGAGCAUGGGUUUAAUUCGAAGCAACGCGAAGAACCUUACCAGGUCUUGACAUCCUCUGACAAUCCUAGAGAUAGGACGUCCCCUUCGGGGGCAGAGUGACAGGUGGUGCAUGGUUGUCGUCAGCUCGUGUCGUGAGAUGUUGGGUUAGUCCCGCAACGAGCGCAACCCUUGAUCUUAGUUGCCAGCAUUCAGUUGGGCACUCUAAGGUGACUGCCGGUGACAAACCGGAGGAAGGUGGGGAUGACGUCAAAUCAUCAUGCCCCUUAUGACCUGGGCUACACACGUGCUACAAUGGACAGAACAAAGGGCAGCGAAACCGCGAGGUUAAGCCAAUCCCACAAAUCUGUUCUCAGUUCGGAUCGCAGUCUGCAACUCGACUGCGUGAAGCUGGAAUCGCUAGUAAUCGCGGAUCAGCAUGCCGCGGUGAAUACGUUCCCGGGCCUUGUACACACCGCCCGUCACACCACGAGAGUUUGUAACACCCGAAGUCGGUGAGGUAACCUUUAGGAGCCAGCC